UCGCCCCUACGGGAGGCAGCAGUGAGGAAUAUUGGUCAAUGGCCGGAAGGCUGAACCAGCCAAGCCGCGUGAAGGACGAAGGUUCCAAGUAUUGUAAACUUCUUUUGUCAAGGGACAAAAUCAGGUUCGAGAGCCUGACCGAGGGUACUUGAAGAAAAAGCAUCGGCUAACUCCGUGCCAGCAGCCGCGGUAAUACGGAGGAUGCGAGCGUUAUCCGGAUUUAUUGGGUUUAAAGGGUGCGUAGGCGGGCUGUUAAGUCAGCGGUAAAAGCCCGGGGCUCAACCCCGGCGAGCCGUUGAAACUGG
This 305-nucleotide ribosomal RNA is filed under the name uncultured bacterium. Its description in RNAcentral is "bacterial SSU rRNA". It matches the Rfam family "Bacterial small subunit ribosomal RNA", at positions 333 to 636 of the family's 1533-position model. The record is from RNAcentral.